GACGAACGCUGGCGGCGUGCUUAACACAUGCAAGUCGAACGCUGAAGCUCAGCUUUUGUUGGGUGGAUGAGUGGCGAACGGGUGAGUAACACGUGAGUAACCUGCCUCCUUCUUUGGGAUAACGCCCGGAAACGGGUGCUAAUACUGGAUAUUCACUGGUCUUCGCAUGGGGGUUGGUGGAAAGGGUUUUUCUGGUGGGGGAUGGGCUCGCGGCCUAUCAGCUUGUUGGUGGGGUGAUGGCCUACCAAGGCUUUGACGGGUAGCCGGCCUGAGAGGUUGACCGGUCACAUUGGGACUGAGAUACGGCCCAGACUCCUACGGGAGGCAGCAGUGGGGAAUAUUGCACAAUGGGCGCAAGCCUGAUGCAGCGACGCCGCGUGAGGGAUGGAGGCCUUCGGGUUGUGAACCUCUUUCGCUCAUGGUCAAGCCGCAACAAUGGUUGUGGUGAGGGUAGUGGGUAAAGAAGCGCCGGCUAACUACGUG
RNAcentral lists this ribosomal RNA (483 nucleotides) under uncultured bacterium. Its description in RNAcentral is "partial 16S ribosomal RNA". It matches the Rfam family "Bacterial small subunit ribosomal RNA", at positions 28 to 507 of the family's 1533-position model. The record is from RNAcentral.